UACGUAGGGUGCGAGCGUUAAUCGGAAUUACUGGGCGUAAAGGGCGCGUAGGCGGCCUUCUAAGUCAGACGUGAAAUCCCCCGGCUUAACCUGGGAACUGCGUCUGAUACUGGAUGGCUUGAGUGCGGGAGAGGGAUGUGGAAUUCCAGGUGUAGCGGUGAAAUGCGUAGAUAUCUGGAGGAACACCGGUGGCGAAGGCGGCAUCCUGGACCGACACUGACGCUGAGGCGCGAAAGCUAGGGUAGCAAACGGG
Molecule: ribosomal RNA, 253 nt
Filed under: uncultured bacterium
Lineage: Bacteria
Description: partial 16S ribosomal RNA
Rfam family: Bacterial small subunit ribosomal RNA
Source: RNAcentral